UGACUGCGUACCUUUUGUAUAAUGGGUCAGCGACUUAUAUUCUGUAGCAAGGUUAACCGAAUAGGGGAGCCGGAGGGAAACCGAGUCUUAAUUGGGCGUUAAGUUGCAGGGUAUAGACCCGAAACCCGGUGAUCUAGCCAUGGGCAGGUUGAAGGUUGGGUAACACUAACUGGAGGACCGAACCGACUAAUGUUGAAAAAUUAGCGGAUGACCUGUGGCUGGGGGUGAAAGGCCAAUCAAACCGGGAGAUAGCUGGUUCUCCCCGAAAGCUAUUUAGGUAGCGCCUCGUGAAUUCAUCUCCGGGGGUAGAGCACUGUUUCGGCUAGGGGGCCAUCCCGGCUUACCAACCCGAUGCAAACUGCGAAUACCGGAGAAUGUUAUCACGGGAGACACACGGCGGGUGCUAACGUCCGUCGUGAAGAGGGAAACAACCCAGACCGCCAGCUAAGGUCCCAAAGUCAUGGUUAAGUGGGAAACGAUGUGGGAAGGCCCAGACAGCCAGGAUGUUGGCUUAGAAGCAGCCAUCAUUUAAAGAAAGCGUAAUAGCUCACUGGUCGAGUCGGCCUGCGCGGAAGAUGUAACGGGGCUAAACCAUGCACCGAAGCUGCGGCAGCGACACUGUGUGUUGUUGGGUAGGGGAGCGUUCUGUAAGCCUGCGAAGGUGGCCUGUGAGGGUUGCUGGAGGUAUCAGAAGUGCGAAUGCUGACAUAAGUAACGAUAAAGCGGGUGAAAAGCCCGCUCGCCGGAAGACCAAGGGUUCCUGUCCAACGUUAAUCGGGGCAGGGUGAGUCGACCCCUAAGGCGAGGCCGAAAGGCGUAGUCGAUGGGAAACGGGUUAAUAUUCCCGUACUUGGUGUUACUGCGAAGGGGGGACGGAGAAGGCUAUGUUGGCCGGGCGACGGUUGUCCCGGUUUAAGCGUGUAGGUGUGUGUUCCAGGUAAAUCCGGUUCACUUUAACACUGAGGCGUGACGACGAGGCACUACGGUGCUGAAGCAACAAAUGCCCUGCUUCCAGGAAAAGCCUCUAAGCAUCAGGUAACAUCAAAUCGUACCCCAAACCGACACAGGUGGUCAGGUAGAGAAUACCAAGGCGCUUGAGAGAACUCGGGUGAAGGAACUAGGCAAAAUGGUGCCGUAACUUCGGGAGAAGGCACGCUGACACGUAGGUGAAGUGAUUUACUCAUGGAGCUGAAGUCAGUCGAAGAUACCAGCUGGCUGCAACUGUUUAUUAAAAACACAGCACUGUGCAAACACGAAAGUGGACGUAUACGGUGUGACGCCUGCCCGGUGCCGGAAGGUUAAUUGAUGGGGUCAGCGCAAGCGAAGCUCCUGAUCGAAGCCCCGGUAAACGGCGGCCGUAACUAUAACGGUCCUAAGGUAGCGAAAUUCCUUGUCGGGUAAGUUCCGACCUGCACGAAUGGCGUAAUGAUGGCCAGGCUGUCUCCACCCGAGACUCAGUGAAAUUGAACUCGCUGUGAAGAUGCAGUGUACCCGCGGCAAGACGGAAAGACCCCGUGAACCUUUACUAUAGCUUGACACUGAACAUUGAGCCUUGAUGUGUAGGAUAGGUGGGAGGCUUUGAAGUGUGGACGCCAGUCUGCAUGGAGCCGACCUUGAAAUACCACCCUUUAAUGUUUGAUGUUCUAACGUGGACCCGUUACCCGGGUUGCGGACAGUGUCUGGUGGGUAGUUUGACUGGGGCGGUCUCCUCCUAAAGAGUAACGGAGGAGCACGAAGGUUGGCUAAUCCUGGUCGGACAUCAGGAGGUUAGUGCAAUGGCAUAAGCCAGCUUGACUGCGAGCGUGACGGCGCGAGCAGGUGCGAAAGCAGGUCAUAGUGAUCCGGUGGUUCUGAAUGGAAGGGCCAUCGCUCAACGGAUAAAAGGUACUCCGGGGAUAACAGGCUGAUACCGCCCAAGAGUUCAUAUCGACGGCGGUGUUUGGCACCUCGAUGUCGGCUCAUCACAUCCUGGGGCUGAAGUAGGUCCCAAGGGUAUGGCUGUUCGCCAUUUAAAGUGGUACGCGAGCUGGGUUUAGAACGUCGUGAGACAGUUCGGUCCCUAUCUGCCGUGGGCGCUGGAGAACUGAGGGGGGCUGCUCCUAGUACGAGAGGACCGGAGUGGACGCAUCACUGGUGUUCGGGUUGUCAUGCCAAUGGCACUGCCCGGUAGCUAAAUGCGGAAGAGAUAAGUGCUGAAAGCAUCUAAGCACGAAACUUGCCCCGAGAUGAGUUCU
This 2234-nucleotide ribosomal RNA is filed under the name Salmonella enterica. Its description in RNAcentral is "bacterial LSU rRNA". It matches the Rfam family "Bacterial large subunit ribosomal RNA", at positions 594 to 2812 of the family's 2925-position model. Lineage: Bacteria; Pseudomonadati; Pseudomonadota; Gammaproteobacteria; Enterobacterales; Enterobacteriaceae. RNAcentral also lists the same sequence under 1 other name. The record is from RNAcentral.